Molecule: long non-coding RNA, 1326 nt
Filed under: Sus scrofa (pig)
Lineage: Eukaryota; Metazoa; Chordata; Mammalia; Artiodactyla; Suidae
Description: lncRNA (ENSSSCG00045000213.1)
Source: RNAcentral
CUGCAGCGGCUCCAGGCCCUGCAAGGAAUUGCUAACAGAGAUGUAACCUUCUGGAUUAUUUUUAUUCUCCUCUCUGCAGGUGAGCAAAACUCCCUUUGGCUCCAAUUAAAAAGAUGUGCUCCAACACCACAGGGACUAAGAUGAGUUUUCAACUUUCCUGCUCUUGGUCCCCAGAGAUGGACUUACAUCCAAGGAGUUAGGCUCCUGUGAAUCCUACAAAGCCGAGGCUGCUGACCAGAGCACUCAUUCAAGUUAUCUGAGUGGGAGAUCGGAAAGAAGCCAAUCUUUUAACUGCAUGUACUGGAAUUAUUCAUCUUCAGAAUUCUAAAGCAGACUGAAUAGGAUCAGAUGGUGAGUGUCCUACAUUGCUGACCUAGUUUGUCUUCUUUCUGUUUAGUUUCCUUAUAAUUAUGAACUAUCAGAGCUGCUGAUGACUUCAAAAAGCAAUGUUUAUGAUUAUGUAAAAUGGAAUCUUAAGCUUCCCGUGGGUAUGUGGUCAUAGGAUUGUAUUAUUUUUCAACAAAUAUUUCCUAUUUUGGUGGAAAGUUUCAUAUUGCCCACUUUUAUUGAGAAAUGUUAAGUAACUGGCUUAAGAAAUAGCCUGUUGAAAAAGAGUUUUAUUUUGUGAAGGGUCACGGGUGACUUUUCAGAGCCUCUUCAUCUUUCACAAGAGGACUAUAAACUACCUUUCCAGCCUUGUUUCCUGACAUCAUUCUUCAUCUGUUCAUCUGUGCUACAACUGUGGACCUUCCAGCCAACACCUGAAUAAACUGUGUUUGCUCAGUGAGCCCUGACUUUGCACUUGAAGCUUCCCUGAGGUGAAGGGUCAUCCUCCACUUUCCCUCAUUUUUCAUGACUGAGCUCGACUGAGCUCAAGUGAUAUCUUUAUGAGAACUCCAAGGCUUGAUGUAAAAAAAUCAUUCCUAUUUUGUGACAAUUAACACACACAGUUCUAAUUAUUUGCUGUUGCAUUUAUUUCUCCUUGUUGAGGUUGAAUUUUUGUGGUAGUCAAGUCAGAAUUACUUUAUUGUUCUUUGAAUUACUUAUAUUUAAUAUAGCACUAGACAUGAGUAAGCAAUGCCUACAUCUUGACUGAAUAAAAAAGAAUGAAUCUAAAGCUAAAGCUCCAAACACCAGAAUUUCUUUCAACAUAAUGUACUUUAUAUGCAAGUGUUCACUAUUCUCAUUACUGUUUAAGUAAGCAUCACCUGGGAAGAGCAAAACUCUGUUCUUAUUAGUGUAUGGGUCUGUGGAAUAUCUGAUACUUGAUGUUGUAUUAUUUCUAAAGAUGUACCGAUUUUAAUUAACUACUAUAAUAUCUUUCCU